CCCCACCCCACAGGAAAGGAACAGGCAACAGAACGUAGUAGCAAAAAAGUUUAUUUUACAGGUUUAAUAAAAUACAUAUAAAAUAAAUAAUAAUAAUAAUAAAAAAAAUCAAUAAAUUACAGUGGGAGGGAGGGCCCAUAUCACCAACCCCCCCCUCCCCCAAAACAUGCAGAGUGCCCCUCAUCACUGGGGUACUCCCCUUCCACAAGCAGAGCCCUGGGGUUUCCCAUCAGUCAGAGGGUUCCUCAUCAGCAGGAGGGGUCCCAUGGGGGGGGGAGGGGAGGGGCGGGGAGGUGUCAUCCAUCAGUGGGCUCCUGGGGGGGGGGGGUCCUGGAGGCUCUCCCCUCCUUGCAGCCGUUCCCAAAUGCGCUCCCGGUGCGAGGGCUGCAGGAUGGGCUCCAGGAUGGGGCGCAGCAGAGCACAGCGGCGGGCAAAGCGCAGGCGGUCGCGGGCCAUGGUCUCCCAAGGCCCCCGGCGGGCAUCGGGGUCUGGGGGGGGCUGGAGGAGGAAGACCUGGACCUGAAGGCUGAACCGUACCUUGGGAGGGAGGGGGAAGAAAACAGAAAGAGGGAGGGGGUGAUGUCAUCCUGAUGGUGUCAUGAGUGAUGCAAGAGACACGGGACUGCCCCAUGACUCCUACCCCCACCCAUCCCAUAUAAGGCUCGGCUUCUUGGUGAUGUUGGGGGCUCAUCCCUGUGGGGUCCCACAGUUUUUUUUUUGGGGGGGGGGGGGGGUUGGAUUCCAUCUCAUGCCCCCAUCCCCCAGCCCCCAAAUGCCCACUUAUGUGGCACUCACUCUCUUGGUGCUGCGAGGGCGGACCUCUUCGCUCCCGGGUUCUUCAUUGUUAGGGGGUUCCCCAGUGUUGGGAGGGUCUCCAUCCGCCGGGGGGGUCUCGGGGGUGUCCCCGUCCCACCCUUGCUCAUCAUCGUCGUCCUCGUCAGGCUCCGGGCGGUAGAAAAGGGCGUUUAGAAUGGGGGGGUGCAGGGGGUCCUCAGCCGCCAUCAGAGGGGCACAAGGGGGUGCCAUAUCCUAGAAAAGGAAACAGAAAAGUGAGGAGGGGGGCGGCGGGGGGUGAAGGGACCCCCAACCUCCUACGAACCCAGGACCCCCCCCCCCCCCAUCAGACCCAAAGAACCCCCCCACCCCACUCCACUCUGACUACGGCACUCCCUACAUUUUGGGGACCCCCCCCACAGAAUCUCGGGCCCCUCUCAAUGUCCGGACCCCCCCCCCCCAGCCCUCACCUGACGCUCGCGUUGUUCGCUCCGUGUCCGUCACCAUCGCUGCUCUCUGUAUCAUCGCCGGC
RNAcentral lists this long non-coding RNA (1306 nucleotides) under Gallus gallus (chicken). RNAcentral's name for it is "lncRNA (ENSGALG00010006006.1)". Lineage: Eukaryota; Metazoa; Chordata; Aves; Galliformes; Phasianidae. The record is from RNAcentral.